CUACGGAGGGGACUAGCGUUGUUCGGAUUUACUGGGCGUAAAGCGCACGUAGGCGGUUUGGAAAGUCAGAUGUGAAAUCCCAGGGCUCAACCCUGGAACUGCAUUUGAAACUAUCAGACUAGAGAUUGGGAGAGGUAAGUGGAAUUCCGAGUGUAGAGGUGAAAUUCGUAGAUAUUCGGAGGAACACCAGAGGCGAAGGCGACUUACUGGACCAAUACUGACGCUGAGGUGCGAAAGCGUGGGGAGCAAACAGGAUUAGAAACCCUAGUAGUCC
Molecule: ribosomal RNA, 274 nt
Filed under: uncultured bacterium
Lineage: Bacteria
Description: partial 16S ribosomal RNA
Rfam family: Bacterial small subunit ribosomal RNA
Source: RNAcentral